GACGAACGCUGGCGGCGUGCUUAACACAUGCAAGUCGAACGGAAAGGCCCUGCUUUUGUGGGGUGCUCGAGUGGCGAACGGGUGAGUAACACGUGAGUAACCUGCCCUUGACUUUGGGAUAACUUCAGGAAACUGGGGCUAAUACCGGAUAGGAGCUCCUGCUGCAUGGUGGGGGUUGGAAAGUUUCGGCGGUUGGGGAUGGACUCGCGGCUUAUCAGCUUGUUGGUGGGGUAGUGGCUUACCAAGGCUUUGACGGGUAGCCGGCCUGAGAGGGUGACCGGCCACAUUGGGACUGAGAUACGGCCCAGACUCCUACGGGAGGCAGCAGUGGGGAAUAUUGCACAAUGGGUGGAAGCCUGAUGCAGCAACGCCGCGUGCGGGAUGACGGCCUUCGGGUUGUAAACCGCUUUCGCCUGUGACGAAGCGUGAGUGACGGUAAUGGGUAAAGAAGCACCGGCUAACUACGUC
Molecule: ribosomal RNA, 468 nt
Filed under: uncultured bacterium
Lineage: Bacteria
Description: partial 16S ribosomal RNA
Rfam family: Bacterial small subunit ribosomal RNA
Source: RNAcentral